CACAUCACAUUUCGGGUGAUAAUGCUCCUUGUAGCAUGUUUUGUGAUAGGGAUAGUUCCCAGACAUUGAGAACUCAUAAUCAGAUAUUGGCUGGUUACAGGCAUGGCAUCUAAAGCACUCUGGAUGCCAUACCGCUCCCAUGCAACUCAAAAAUCGUCCAUGACCUAUUUCAGUGCUGCAACCUGCACAUACCCUAAAGCUUGCAGAAUAUGGG
Molecule: unclassified non-coding RNA, 214 nt
Filed under: Hevea brasiliensis (rubber tree)
Lineage: Eukaryota; Viridiplantae; Streptophyta; Magnoliopsida; Malpighiales; Euphorbiaceae
Source: RNAcentral